This is a long non-coding RNA of Dalotia coriaria, 843 nucleotides long. RefSeq lists it as uncharacterized. The transcript has 2 exons. NCBI's taxonomy places the organism in Eukaryota, Metazoa, Arthropoda, Insecta, Coleoptera, Staphylinidae. The record is from RefSeq and is a predicted model, not a curated record.
UAUAAAAAUAUCUUUAUAAAUAAAUGGAAUUGCAAUGAUAAUAUUUAUGAAUGUGUUUCGUUUUCUGCUUAAUAAAAAGAACACAACUAGAUUAGCUUGUAAACAUAACAAAAUCAAACACACGUCAGAUGUAAUAUCCGUUAAUAUUCAUGUAUUUGAUGCUAAUCUUGCAUUGUAACAUUGCAAACAACUAAUUAUAAAUUUAAUAAGCCCAGAGUGUAUAUAAAGUCACGAAUUUAUUUUUUCUAUACUCUCUAGUUUCAAAAUGUUGCCAAUUGUAUUUUUACUGUUGCUGGUAGUAUCUUCUUGUUUAGCAAAUGGAGCCGGACCGGUAGGCAAGAUUGAAAUUAAAAAAAUUGACGCCUGUGAUAAUUCAAACUACCAAUUGAAAAUUCAAUUUGAUUCAAGUGCAGGCGAUGGCAAAACUUUUAAUAUUCAAUUUAAAACUACCAGGACCAUAAAUGAAAACUGGACGUUCCGAGGUGAUGUUGACAAGUGGACAGGUACAGCAUGGAAAACUGGAGUCAUGAAAGGCGACGGAAAAAUGUGCCAAGCAGCUAAUGAAGCAGUUCCGGCUUUAAAGGAACGCGUAUUUAAGGCUUUAAACGUGAAGAAGUGUGAACUUGCACCUGGAUCAUACUCGUUGAAAGCCAUGAAAUUCUUUGAAAAAGAUAUCAAAAUGAAAGCGCUACCCUAUGGAAAGUUCCGAAUUACUGUGAAAGCAUGGGACGACAAAAAGACGAUUGUUGCGUGCUUUGUUGGCGAAGGCGAACACUCACCUAAGAUUUAAUUGUUUAAAUGCAAUAUAAAUGUAUGAUAUAAAUAUAUCUAUGUGCAAAGAUA